AACGAACGCUGGCGGCAGGCUUAACACAUGCAAGUCGAACGGGCGUAGCAAUACGUCAGUGGCAGACGGGUGAGUAACACGUGGGAACCUUCCUAGGGGUACGGAACAACUCAGGGAAACUUGAGCUAAUACCGUAUACGUCCGUGAGGAGAAAGAUUUAUCGCCCUUAGACGGGCCCGCGUCGGAUUAGCUAGUUGGUGGGGUAACGGCCUACCAAGGCGACGAACCGUAGCUGAUCUUAGAGGAUGAUCAGCCACACUGGGACGGAGACAUGGCCCAGAAUCCUACGGGAGGCAGCAGUGGGGAAUCUUGGACAAUGGGCGCAAGCCUGAUCCAGCCAUGCCGCGUGAGUGAAGAAGGCCUUAGGGUUGUAAAGCUCUUUUACCAGGGACGAUAAUGACGGUACCUGGAGAAUAAGCCCCGGCAAACUUCGUGCCAGCAGCCGCCGUAA
This 451-nucleotide ribosomal RNA is filed under the name uncultured bacterium. RNAcentral describes it as "partial 16S ribosomal RNA". It matches the Rfam family "Bacterial small subunit ribosomal RNA", at positions 29 to 523 of the family's 1533-position model. The record is from RNAcentral.